Molecule: transfer RNA, 76 nt
Filed under: Flavobacteriaceae bacterium
Lineage: Bacteria; Pseudomonadati; Bacteroidota; Flavobacteriia; Flavobacteriales; Flavobacteriaceae
Also listed under: 4 other names
Description: tRNA-Lys
Rfam family: tRNA
About the family: Transfer RNA (tRNA) molecules are approximately 80 nucleotides in length. Their secondary structure includes four short double-helical elements and three loops (D, anti-codon, and T loops). Further hydrogen bonds mediate the characteristic L-shaped molecular structure. tRNAs have two regions of fundamental functional importance: the anti-codon, which is responsible for specific mRNA codon recognition, and the 3' end, to which the tRNAs corresponding amino acid is attached (by aminoacyl-tRNA synthetases). tRNAs cope with the degeneracy of the genetic code in two manners: having more than one tRNA (with a specific anti-codon) for a particular amino acid; and 'wobble' base-pairing, i.e. permitting non-standard base-pairing at the 3rd anti-codon position.
Source: RNAcentral
GGGCCGUUAGCUCAAUUGGUAGAGCAACUGACUCUUAAUCAGUAGGUCCUCGGUUCGAUCCCGAGACGGCCCACCA